This 1142-nucleotide long non-coding RNA is filed under the name Homo sapiens (human). RNAcentral's name for it is "non-protein coding lnc-ADAT3-3:1". Lineage: Eukaryota; Metazoa; Chordata; Mammalia; Primates; Hominidae. The record is from RNAcentral.
GCACAGAUCAGAAUCCAGAUAAGGUCCCAGGUUUCCUGGGAUGGUGACUCCUCUCCCUUCAGGGCCCCUCGAUCUGCAGGCCUCUCCCCUCCUGCACCUGCGCCUGGCGCCAGGCCCUCCAGGGUGGCUGGGAUCUGUGGUUUGUGCACCCCUCGGAUGUGCCGCUGAAGCUGGUCUGUCACCUGCCACCCCAAGAGCCUGAGUGACGUUGCCCCAGGGAUCUGAGUUAGAGUCAUAGUGAGCGUGUGCCUGGGACUCCCAGCUCUGCCAGCCUUUGGGGUGCUUCCCCCUCCUGCAGAGGCUGUGGCUGCAGGUCAAGGCACUGCUCGUCAUCCUCCGAGUCCUCCUGAGCUCCCAGCUGCCAGCUCGGCUCCCACUGGCCCUUCCCUGGGCUCCAGUGCCUCCUGUGAGCCGCCUCCCCGGUGCGUCCCCAGCUCUCCCAGGCUGAGCUGGGUGGACAGGCCUGUGCCCGUGUUGGGUGGUCCUGAGAUCCCGGCAUGAGGUCACGGGAGAAGCUGAGCAUGCGGUCCCUGCCCGAGGUGGACAGAAGGUGAACGCUCUUGAGAAAGAAACCCAGCGGGUCUUAGGAGAGCCCGGCCCCCCUUGUAAUGAGAGAAAUCAAACCACAGCGCACAGCGACUUCAUGUCCACCGUUGGCUUAGUGAGGCCCCACGCUCAGUGCGCUGCUGUGGGGCGAGAGGGGACAGCCCCGCUCUCCCUGUCCUGGGCGGCUUCACCAGCGCCACCUCCCCACACACUCUGUGCACUGCUGUGGGGCAAGAGGCGACAGCCCCGCUCUCCCUGCCCCGGGCAGCUUCACCAGCGUCACCUCCCCAGGGGUGACGCAUGCCCGAGGCCAUGAGCCACGGCAGCAUCUGUGGUGGCAGAGGACUGGAAACUCCAGAGAAAUGACCCCCAGCGGGGCCUAGCUGUGUAGAUGGUGAGGGUGGCCACAUGGCGGCAGCCAGGUACUGAGGACACGGUGCAGCAGGGGCCCCCGGUGGGCCCCGCCAGGAAUCGGACAUCAGCGGGCGCCGCAGCCUCUAAGCGGAGCAUGCAGCCCACUGACAGUGUGCUGGGUGCCUCCCUAGACCUGACACUUGCAUGCGGGGGCGUGCGAUGCUGGCCAGUGGGAAGCUGCG